Molecule: ribosomal RNA, 303 nt
Filed under: uncultured bacterium
Lineage: Bacteria
Description: partial 16S ribosomal RNA
Rfam family: Bacterial small subunit ribosomal RNA
Source: RNAcentral
AGCAGUAGCGCGGUAAUACAGAGGGUGCGAGCGUUAAUCGGAUUUACUGGGCGUAAAGCGUGCGUAGGCGGCUUUUUAAGUCGGAUGUGAAAUCCCUGAGCUUAACUUAGGAAUUGCAUUCGAUACUGGGAAGCUAGAGUAUGGGAGAGGAUGGUAGAAUUCCAGGUGUAGCGGUGAAAUGCGUAGAGAUCUGGAGGAAUACCGAUGGCGAAGGCAGCCAUCUGGCCUAAUACUGACGCUGAGGUACGAAAGCAUGGGGAGCAAACAGGAUUAGAUACCCGAGUAGUCCCUGUCUCUUAUACC